UACGGGGGGGGCAAGCGUUGUUCGGAAUUACUGGGCGUAAAGGGCUCGUAGGCGGCCAACUAAGUCAGACGUGAAAUCCCUCGGCUUAACCGGGGAACUGCAUCUGAUACUGGAUGGCUUGAGUUCGGGAGAGGGAUGCGGAAUUCCAGGUGUAGCGGUGAAAUGCGUAGAUAUUUGGAGGAAUACCGGUGGCGAAGGCGGCCAUCUGGACCGGUCCUGACGCUGAGACGCGAAAGCGUGGGGAGCAAACAGG
RNAcentral lists this ribosomal RNA (253 nucleotides) under uncultured bacterium. RNAcentral describes it as "partial 16S ribosomal RNA". It matches the Rfam family "Bacterial small subunit ribosomal RNA", at positions 524 to 776 of the family's 1533-position model. The record is from RNAcentral.